Molecule: long non-coding RNA, 8407 nt
Organism: Gallus gallus (chicken)
Lineage: Eukaryota; Metazoa; Chordata; Aves; Galliformes; Phasianidae
Source: Ensembl
AUGAUAACAAAGAACUUCCAAACAGCCAUUACACUGCAUGAGUAUGUGGGAAACUGCUCAUCAGUCAUUUACAACAGAGGGAAUUUCGCAAUCCUGGAAGAAGGACUAGUAAGUAUAGUCAAAGUGUUCCUCUUUCAUUUUCUCUUUCACCAUUUCCAUACUAGCCCGGUGUGUAACCAGAUAGCUUUCUAAGACCUCUGUUAGCAAGCAGAGUUUGGUGUGCAGGCACCAAUCCUAAUAUUACGGGAGCUCAGAGGUCUUUGAGUGCAGAGCAAAUAGCUUUUAAGAGCAAUGCCAAUUGCUAAAAGGAUCAUAUUACAAUAAUAGAUUUGAAAGCUUAUACUCCAAACAGCAUUGCGAAUGAGAGCUGACAACAGAGAUGAAUUUUGUGAGCUGCUAGGAGCAGAGCAGGACUUGCUUAUUGCACUAAUGAACGUGGCUUGUGGGAAAGCUGACACCUCAUUGAAAUCAGGCCUCUCAAUCACCCAUGAUUACUGUGGGACUCAGAAGGGAUGCAGAAGCAGCUACACGAUGCUGGAUGAGAAGACACCGGAAGCUAUUCAAAUGAGAAGAGAUGGAUGGAUAAUUCUGACGUUCUCAGCCUCAGUCUGGAGAGGGAUCUGGAAGGAGCUGGGAGCCUGCUCAGCUGUUGCUUGACGGACUGCUUUUCAUCCAUUUUGAGAGGAAGCCUCAGAAGCUGAGCUCUCGGGCGGGAAUGGAGGACGAAGUGAGGUGCAAGGGAGCAUGUGGCCCAGAAGAGGCAUACAAAUCCUGCCUACACACUCUAUGCGAACAGCCGGAGCUGACUCACGGGCAGCACAGGAUGAGACUGCCUGCCUAGCAAAUUGAGUGGAUACUUCGGUCAGUGCACCUUGAGCUCCAGGAGGCUGUGCAAAGCAGAGCCCCAGCCAGUCCCCUGGUAACAGCAGGCCUCAGGCCGUGCAGCUGCCGGAGUAGAUGCCACACCAACAGGGCUCUCAUCACGGCAGGGAAACCAGGCUGCUGGCAGUGUGUGACAGGGGGAUGCUCUGGACACAAAGGUGCAACGCAGUGCCCUGCCUGCUGGGUUGGAAUCCCAGGCAGACAAGUGUCACGCUGCAGGUAUGCACGUAGGGUGCUCUGAGAGCCGCUCCUUAAUGAGCUGGUAGCAUGCCAGCCUUUGAUUGGCAUGAGGCAACCACAUGGGUUUUAAUCUCUUCCUCUGCAUGCAUAGUGACUAUUAAUGAGAGGAUUACUGUGAAGUGGCCUGAAACUGAAUGGCAUGUGUAGAAUCUCACGGCUACAUAAGUCACAGGCAAGCUUGGAUAGCACAAGAAAGGUGCAGCCUUCUUCACGUUUUCCAAAAAGAAUUGGGAAGAUCAAAUACUCGGUGUCAAACUCUUGCAUGGAGGUACCCAAACUCAUAACGAACAUCAGCUCUAAAAGUUCUGUUGUCACUGCCAGUAUGUGAAUACCUCGCAUGGGUGUCACCUUGUUCCUCUAGCACCGAAAGUCGAGCGGUGGGAGAGGUGAUCCCAUCAGCUGAGGCAGCUGACAAGCCAGUAACUUCUGCAGAUCAGAUUGUAAAAAAUGUUGUAAACAAGCACGUGCCUGGAUUUACCCUGUAGGACGGUAUAAUACCCGGCUAUGGAACUGCAGGGUCGCUGCUUGCCAAAAUAAGACUGAAUAAGCUGAUGUUUUGCAGGUACUCCAGGCUCACCCUCGUCUCCUGAGCACAUUCUGCAGCACUUCAUAGUUAAGGUUACACAGACACGCUCAGCAAAACAGGAUCCUUUCCACCGGGGUGAGGGGAGCAGAGAGAUGGCUGCUAGCUGCCAGCCUAGAGUGGAAAGUGAGUCAUGGUCAUGAAAUAGGUCAUUUCCACUCCAUGUGAACGCUCUCGCAUAGUAUUCAGGUUAGUUUCUGUAACAAGGAACAGUCUGGGCUCAGGUUUACUUCUGGGCUUGCCGCUUCUGCUGCAGAUAAGCAGGAAAAAAUAAGCUGUAUAAAAAUGGGUGUUUUCAGCUGAUGAACGUAUGACUGUGGAUUCUGGCAAAAUUAUUCUAACUUCCACUGAUUGAACAUGUGGUUUAGUUUUGUUUCAUGCAUCCAGGCAGCUUCUUUAAAAAAGAAGAAGAAAAAAAUCUCAGUAGCAGCUGCAUUGGCUUCCGCUAAUAUUUGCUUCCCUAACUGAAAACCUGAGCAGUCCAGCAAAAGAUGAAACCCUUUCUUUAUUCUUAUUUCAAAUCAUGUCUUCGAAAUGCGAGUUUCUGCUGGCAGAUAGAACACGAGCUUAUCUACAGCGAGCGGGAGGCUGUGCUGUGAGCCCUACUUUGGGGAAGCCUCUUUGACCCCAAGCAGGAUAUUCUACAACAUCUGAAGAUUGAGUGAUGAUAGCAAUAUUUUUUCCAGGACGUUUCUCGGAGAAGAGGGAGGGGUGUGGUUAUCGUUGUCAUUUCACCGUAGCAGAUAGAACGCUGUCUGGAGACACCGCCCUUGCUGGAAAAUUGAUUAAGGUCUGGAUUUGGAAGCAAAAGACCACCUCUGCUGCUUUGCUAACUGAUAAGAAGAAGUUGGUCUGUGUCUGCGGGAGGGACUUUCCCCAAAACUCUGCACCUGUGGAUACCAGCCAUCAGACACCGCCACUUCACAUGCACCUCCAGCUCUGAGGGUCCGCCAAAGUCAUCCUAGCUUGCAAGAUCCUAUCCUAUAUAAAGGACAAGAAAUAGGUGUGAGACAGGAGGCAGGAAAUGUGUCAUUUCACUAUAACUGUGCAGAAAAUGGUCAGAUGCUGUGGAUAGUCACUGGGGAAGCUGAGGGAGCCAUGCCCCUGAGCAUCCAUUCCAGCACAGCUCUAAAGGAGUCUAUGGCUGAGUUGCUUGGGAGGCAACACACCUAGCACAGAGAUACACACUUCUGCCAAGGAAGUCCUUCAGUCUUAGGAACUCCUAAAGAUCCACCUGACUUGAACAUCUUUUGCUUUUGUGGUGGAACUCAGCUGCAGAUCAUGGCAGGGAUCUUCACCAGCUUGACACAUUCACCAAAAGAAGAACAAUCUGAGCUAAUAAAAGAAGGAAAUGAAUUAGGAAGCAAUUUGUUGAACUGGAUUUUAUUCUUUACUAAAACUUAAAUCUUGUUUGAUCGGACUUUUGUUUUUAUUGCCUUGUUCUCAGCCUUUUUGCUGUGAUUUUAACAUUUCCUUUUUGGCUUUUGUAGCCUUCAUCCUGAUGUACAGAAUUCAGAAUAAAGGUGAAUUUAGUUAUCCCAUGGGGACAUACGAAGGAAAGACAAAUCAAACUGAACGAGAGCCUUGGUAGAAAACGCAGCGUAUCUAACAAUGCAUAAUUGGCAACAGAAAACGUGUCAGAUGGGAUUUGUUUGGAGAAGAACUUCCAAAGAAGGCUGAGAGCCAAGCUGAAGUAGUCACCUAAAGUUACUUUAAGAUUUAUGUGCUGAUGAUAGACUGUGGGGCAAAGCAUUCACACGGGGAAGGCCAUGCUCACUAGUUCACUUGGUCAAUUCUCAAUAAAGAAUUACCAGCCCUGAGUGAUAUUGCUUGGAACAGGUAUCUACCAUUAAAAUUUUAAAAACACGGAAUAAAAUGCAGAUCAUCGUGAUGUAGAUCUUACAGCUCCAGGAUGAUGCUAAAACUACACUCUAUUUGGCUAUGGUAACACGUCCAAUUCUCAUCUGCUUCAGACAGAAAAUGUUUAUAGAAAAAUAACUGAGCAAGGUUAAUCAGAACGUACUCAAACUUUUCUGUCUUAUCAACAAAAUCUUUGUAAAGGUAUUCAAACAGUGGGUUGCUUUCCAGAGAGAAUAAACAGCAAGGUAUCAAUAGCAGAGCUUGUAAUACACUAUGACCUGAUAGCAGCCUUUCAAUAUCUAAAAGGGAGCUACAGGAAAGAAGAGACAGACUCUCUAGCAGGGUGUGUGGUGGUAUAACAAGGGCAAAUGGUUUCAAGCUUAAAGAGGGUAGAUUUAGGCUGGAUACAAGGAAAAACUCUUUUACUGUGGGGGUGGUGAGGCACUGGAACAGGUUGCCCAGUGCUGUGGUUGAUGCUCCAGAAAGACUGUCAAGAAGAGGCUGGAUCAGGCUCUGAGCAACCUGAUCUAGCUGUGGUGUCCCUGUUCAUUGCAGGGGAGUUGGACUAGAUGGCCUUUAAAGGUCUCUUCCAACUCUGAGGAUUCUAUGACUCUAUGCAGGCUAUGCAGUCUAAGCUGCUACAAAAUAAAGAAAUAGCUGCUCAUUUGGGGAUGUCAGUGAGAGAUCAGCAUAGCGUUGUUGGCAGGCGGGGAAUGCGUUGUUCAAACAGAGAGAGAAAUAAUAAGUCAAGAUACGUGCAAUGUUUCAUCUUUUCUAUUCCCUGUACUCAGGAUUAACGCUUUCAUGUACGGAAUAUGCUAGAAGAUGGGGAUAAGGUGGCAGAUGAAAUUCAUUAAUGAGAGACACAAGCCAGGGGACAGAUAGAACAUGAUAAAUUGGUCUCCUUGUGCAGAACACUGAUUACUAAACCAUGAUGACUGCUCCGAAAGUAAUGCAUCCUGUUUUAUUAUAUUGGCCCAUUAUAUCAGAGGCAAAUGUUGGUAGUAUGGCAGUAGAUGCUGAACCUCCCCACCAAUAUUCCAUUAUAUUUUGUUGCUGUAAGACAGAUGGUGGUAGAGGGACAGUCUGACAAAAUGGCAUCUGACAUGGAAGUGUGUAUAAAGCAAAGGGGCGGAACUGAAUUCCUCCUUGUGAAAAAAAUAGCACUCAGCAGUGGCAACAGUGACAGUGGGUCACCUCCACCGGUGCAGAUGUUUACAAGCAUGAAAUGCAGGCUCUGGUUCAUUGCUGGUGAAGAUGCAUAGCAAAUGGUGGUGACUGUGUUGAAAAAGUGCUUUGUAGCUGAGAAUUUACUCUAUCAAGUACUGUUAUUGUGCUCCUUGUAUCCAUUGUUGUUUACAUGGAAAUAAAUAGGAGGCAUUACUUUCAGAGAUACCUAUAUAUGUACUUCUUGCUGCUUAGGGAAGAGAUCUUGGGGUCACUGUGGUUAACGCUCCAAAAAUGGUUAUGGAUGACUCAGAGAAAGUCAGAAAGAUUCUAAGAGAGAAGAGUGAAACAAAAACAAUCGUUUCACUGUCUGAAUUUAUCAUCCACCUACACUGUGGUUAUUGCAGGCAGUUCUGUUCCCCAGCCUCAGAAAGGACUGUCAAGUGAAAGAAAGGUUAGGGAAAGCUACAGGAUGAUCAGAGCUAUGGAAUGUGAGGGGAAAGUAGAGAGACUGCAGUUUUUUGUGUUUUGGUUUCUUUUUUAUCUUGAAAAAGAGAGAAUUGUGAGGAAAUGUAAUAGCUAUAAAACCAAGACAGCGGGGGAGGAGAUAGAUAGGAAGCACUUACUCAUUACAACCUGCAUCAGAAAAACUAGAAUAAUCAGGCAGUAUUAUUGGUUUAAAUCGUUACACACAGAGCACAAUUGUGCUGUGGAAUUCAUUCCCACAGGAUGCCAUGGCAGACAAAAAUAAAUUAAGUCACAAGAAAAUACCAGACAAUUUACAGGGAAUACCUCAGUCAAGACCUUAAUAAUGCAAUAUGCCCUCUCCUGAUCCAGAAAACCUCUAGCUGCUGAUGGCUGGACAGGUACAUCAGAGAAAAAAUCACCUUGUUCAUGAUGCUUUUGCUCUAUCUCUACUCAUCUGCUAUGGACGACAGUCAGAAAUAGGAUGCUGGGUCAGACGGACUGGUACAGAUGACCAUAUUGCCCAGGCUUGCACUUGCUGUGUGAUCUGGGUAACAGGUCACAAUGCCAUCAAAAAGUGAGCAUUAUGUAUAAGAGCUGAGUUUUCCAAAGAAACUGCAGCCAUUAACGGAGCAUUAAGUUGACCAGAAGUGUCAGUAAUAAUAAAAUUAAAUACAGAAGUAAAGUCAUGCUUUUACAAGUCUUUAGAAAUAAUAGUAACCUCAUUCAAUCAACAGAAGAUUGAUUCAUUGGAUACCUGCUUUCCUUGCCAGGUUCUUUUUUCCCUUUGGGAGUGCAGAACAAAUAUAAGAAACCAAUCAUCAGGGUCCUUAAUUUACACCCAAAUUAAAGAAACAUCAUUUAUUACAAGGAGGAGUUAUUGCUCCACUCAAGGUGGGAAUGUGAAACUUUUUAAAGCCAGUGACUUUUUACAGUUCAGUCACAAAACCACUCCCCACAGGGUGUCUGCUAGGUGGCCCUCAUGGUGCUUUGCUGCAAGAAAAGCUCCCACGCAAAGGAACAGAUUGAGGUACUCUGUGAAAGAGUGAAAAACCCGUAGCUUUUGUCUCAGUAUAUAAAAGCUCUUCCUAAUUCUAUUUCAAGACAGAUGAACUUUUGAUAAAUAAUAACCCAUCUGGGUUCUGCAAAUGCCUUGAUAGCCAUAGAGUGAGUGCCUACCAUAGCACAGGUCUUUCUAGACAAUGCUACAGAGGCCCCUCCCCCAUAGAACAGUGAGUAUCAGCACCCGAUGGGGACAUAAUAUUUACUGUGGGUAUUGUAUGGUAACUGUUGAGUCAGGGCCUGAACCACUGAUUCAGCACCUGGGAAAGGACCCGGUCAGCCCUGGGAGCACAGGUGAAGGCAAUUCUGCUGUGUGACCAGAAGGGGUGGAGCCUGGCUGCGCCUCUCUUAGACCUCAUUUAAGGGCUGACCCCUACUAGGAGGGAUUUCUGGUUGGAGAUCUUUUCUUUGUGGAGCUUUCCCUGUGAGCCUUGAUGCGCAAAAAUUGGUGAGCACUUUUCCUUUUAACACCAUUCCAUUUGUGCUAGCCCCUUUGCUGCUAUGCCCCUUUAUUGCCCUUCCACUGCGCUGACCUUUCUGAUUGUAACAGCUAUGAAACAGUAAAUCAGAUAUAUAAGUAUUUGUAAGUAAUAAGAUACAAAUAUCAAUUAAAAAAUAUUAAUAGCAAAUAUAAAUAAAUAACAUUAGCAUACCUUUAGAAGAACACAUGCAUAUACACUUAUGUCUUCAAUAUAUUCAAGUUGCAUUUUUUUUUUUUUUUACCAGAAACUGUGCAGAUGGAUCUGCAUGACAGUACUCAAACGCAUUCAUUAUCUCUGGUUAUUUGCUUUUUUUUUUUUUUUCCCAGCAAUUCUAUGCCUUUUGUUUUAAAGAGUUGUCUUUGAACUCCUGUCAAAUGUUAGCAUUUGCCUAAAAUGUUUUGUUUCAGUGAAUGGAUACGUCUGUGGAUUGUUUGAAUAAAACUGACUGUAAUAUAGAAACUUUUCUGCAAAAAACUUUUGGUAGCUUUUCACUCUACAGGAAAGAAAGGACAUUUUUUUUGUUGAAAAGGAUUUCUCAGAUACAAAUUUUUGACUAGUUGUAAGAGAAUGUCAAAGAAAGGAAAACAUUUGGGUCUCUUGACUCUUGCCAACUCCUGCUGCUACUAUUUAUUUUUAGUUUAUUACUUUACUUUUUUUUUAUUACCAAGCAUUUAUUAUUACUGUAAUGGUGCCCAGAGCCCUCGCCACCAUAGUGACUGCACCUUGCAAGCAGGACAGUGCUCGCGGCCCCAAGCUGAUGAAGUUCAAGAAGUGUUUGGAUUACACUUUCAGACAUAGUGUUUGAAUUUUGGGUGGCGUUGCAUGAAGCUGGGGGUUGGACUUUGAUCCUUGUGAGUCCCCUCCAACUACGGAUAUUCUGUGAGUGAUGUGGACCAUGUGGAGGGAGUGAGAGAAGACUGAUGAAACUUUAGUGAAAAGUCAUAAGGAGCUGUAUCUGCUGAGGUUGGGAGAAGGGGCUUCAACACAUAAUGCUCCUUCUGUGUCACUCAGUCUAGUCACUCAGAAGAAGAGCAGACUUGGAUAGUACACCAAAUGUUGAAUCCAUGUUCUUUAUAAAUACAGAGGGGUUAAGAAGAAGGUAUGAGGAGGCUGAAGACACCCUUGAUUAGAAGGCUAAGCACCUGAUAAAGGAGUCAAGUGGAAAAGAUGAAGGUGGAGGGGUGUAUGGCUGAAUAAGAGAGGGGCUGGUGAUUUUGCUGUCAAAGCAAAGGACUGGGAGGUUUUGACUGGGAGCACCUGAAACAAGCAUGAUGUAAGCCUGAAGAAUAAGGAAAUGAAGGGCUGAAGAAGAUCAGGCUGGUAGGGCAUUGAAGCAAGGUGGGGAUGCAGGGAUGUAGCAGCACUCUCCCAGCCAGUACUAUAAAUAGAAAUAAUUCCCUUGAGGCUAAUGGAUUCAGUUUGGCUUUCAUUAGGUGAGGACAGUGAGGGGAUGAAAGAAAAUGAUGACGGUCAUGCUAGAGAGAGCUCUGGAACAUAACUCAUCUCUACAAUGACUGACUCAGGCAGGGCCACACAGCCACGGAUAAAACAGCUGGGGAAAUAACUCCCUGCUUGCCUUGGUGCUGAGGCUGGGGGACAGAAAGUGAGUUACCUACUGCCACUUUAUGUCAGCAGUGGCGUAAUAUUAAUCUUCUAAUGAUCUAAG